Sapajus apella (tufted capuchin) is the source of this 3236-nucleotide long non-coding RNA. RefSeq lists it as uncharacterized. NCBI's taxonomy places the organism in Eukaryota, Metazoa, Chordata, Mammalia, Primates, Cebidae. The record is from RefSeq and is a predicted model, not a curated record. The transcript is spliced from 2 exons.
UCCCUUCACAUUUAAGUUAACCUCCAUGUUUCUUCAUGGCUUAAUAGCUCAUUUCUUCUUAGUGCUGAGUAACAUUUCAUUAUCUAAAUAUAGCACAAUUUAUUAAUCCAUUCAUCUACAGAGCAACAUCUUGGUUUCUUCCAAAUUUUGGCAAUUAUGAAUAAAGUUGCUUUAAACACUUGUGUGUGGGUUUUUGUGUGGACAUAGGUUUUCAGCUUAUUUAAGAAAAUAGGAAUGCGAUUGCUGGAUUACAUGGUAAGAGUGUGUCUAGUUUUGUAAGAAACUGCCAAACUGCCUUUAAGAGUGACUGUACCAUUUUGCAUUUCCACUGGCAGUGCAUGAGAUAUUCUUUUGCUCUACGUUCUUGCUAGCACUUGGUGUUGUCGGUGUUUUGGCCAUUGUCAAAGAUAUGGAAUGGUAUCAGAUUGGUAUUGGUGUUUUAAUUUGCUGUGUCCUAAGGACCUAGGAUCUUCUCAGAUGCUUACUUGCCAUCUUUAUAUCUUCUUUGGUUAGGUGUCUGUUCAGAUGUUUUGCUUUUUUAAAAAUUUAUUUUCUAGUUUUAAGAAUUCUUUAUGUAUUUUGGGUAAUAGUUCAUUAGAUUUGUCUUUUGCAAAUACUUUCUCCCGGUCUGUGACUUGUUUACUCUUUUUCUUGACUAAAGUCUUAAUUUAUUUUUAGAGAUAGGAUCUCACUGUGUUGCCCAGGCUUGCCUCAAACUCCUGGGUUCAAAUGAUCCUACCACCUUAGCCUCAUGAGUAGCUGAGAAUAGAGACGCACUACUGCAUCACAUUUAAGAUCUGUUUGUAAAAGCUCUUUGGGUGAUUCUAAUUCACUGCCUGAUGAGUGUUCCACUGUUUUGAGCUACUUUCUCUUUCUUCCUUUGCAAAGCUAGGCCAUGCACAGCCAUCAGUUGUCCAUUACUCAUAAUUCGUUUCAACUUUUUUGUCACAGUUGGUCCCAUCCUACUCUCAAUUUCUCUGGUGUUGCUACUUGUUCUUCCAUGUCUCUCCCUACAAAUUCCAACACUUCAUCUUUGUAAUCUAAAUAUAGACUUUCUUUAAUAAUCUGUUCAUACUUAAUCUGUAGGCCCUUUUGGUUCUGUUAACAGCUGUACAGCAGGGUUCCCUCCCAUUUGCCUUGCUGGUUCAGAAAGUAGGUGACUGUGUUAGGCCGUGAGAUUAACAGUAUUAUUCUCCCACCAUGUUGCCCAUGCUGUCUUUGUUUUUCAAUUUUUUGAUAAGAUAUUAAUAAUUUGUAAAAUAAAGGUCCUUUUUUUACUUAGUGUCUAGUUUAUGUGCCAACUUAACCAUCUUUUUAAAAGCCUAUUUUAAUCUUAAUAAAGGUUGAAUUUUCAUCUCAUUCCUACCAUUUUAUUGUGUAUGUUUGAAUAAAUAUCUUUUCACUUAUGUAUUAAAGUAGAAAAGUAAUUUUCUACAGAAAUGUUAGAGGAAUAAUUUUUUGUUCAUAGAGUAAUCUGAAUAAUUAAGAAGACAUUGCAGCAGUGUAUCUAAGGCAUUCAUUUUACUUCUUUCAGUCAUGAGUUUGUGUGGAUGAAUAAUUGAAAAAUAAACAUAAAAUUAGCUCUUAGUUGUAGCUAUUUUCUGCCAUUAAAAUGUGCUGUUAUUGGUUGGUCAGGAUAAUUUUUUGAGGUGUGAUACAAGUAAGGCAAUUAUUUAUGACACAUGGUACUAGUAGAUCAGAUUUUAUUUUGCUGAAAGGCAGGUAUAAAUAUGAGGUAGAAAUAUGUAAAUAUUUGAUGUGUUUUAUUAUAAAAUAUACAAAUCAGUGAUUUUAAAGAACAUGCCUUAUUUUAUAACAUUAACUUUUUAUUUAAUUGGUCAGUUUUUCAUUCAGCAAAUAUGCAGGCACAUUUAUGUGUUCCAAUUUUAAUGUAGUUAAUAUUUAACUAAUUUUAUAAUGUAGAGGUAUGUAGAAGUUCACAUAAGUUCUUAAGAGUAAUUAAUAGACUUGACAUUCCAAUGUUUGAAAUGCGUAAUUUUUUUGUAUGUAGUACAGAUUGCUCAUGCGUUGUCAUGAUUUUAAUGUAAUUGCUACUUUUCAGUGAAGGAAUAUGAAGCUUGGUUUAAAUUUUUGAAAAUAACCAUGUUUUCAACUUGCUGGGUUUUUUUGUGGGGGGAUUUGCAUCUGACCAGUGCUAGAUUUAAUGAGUUGAAGCAAAUGAUGAUACACUGUUCAUUUUGUAUAAAAGUAUUUCUAUUAACUAACUUUUGAUAUAGUUAACAUUUUUGGAGUAGCAUUUUGGACUAAUUCUGAAUGAUGUAACUUGAAGUCAUGGAGCUUAGUCAUGUAAACAAAAGAUUAAAUAUAUGAUAAAAUUCUAAAUUAUGUGGUAUAUGCCUAGUGAUUUUUAUACUAUACUGUUACUAGACUAGAUGUAUUGUCUCAUCAUUAAAUCUAAAAACCUUAUUUUCCCCAAUAUGUAGAAAGAGAUGCUGUUUUCUCAGUUUGACCUUACUCUUCCGCAGUGUGUAGUGUGUGUUUUCUUUGGCACUUUUAGCCGCUUGUUCAUAUUAGAUCUGAUACAGAAUGGUGUUUUAUUUAUGUAUAUUUAUAAUUGCUUUAGAAGUGUCUAUAUAGUUCAACAUAUGUUAAAUAGUUCAUGUUUGUCAGAAAGUACCAUGACUUCAGCUUUUUUCUAAUCUGCAAAAGUUUAACUACUACUAGAAAUUCUCUAUGGUAAAGGAUAUUUGGAGAUAAAAGAGUUUUGUUUAGGCUAGAGUUAUUGAGAGUUGAGCUGGAUUAUGGAAGGUUGAUUGUAUUUGAAUAACUGUAGAAGUUGGCAAUAUAGUCUCAAAGUGUUAUAGGAACUUAAAGACAAACACACGGCGACUUUGUGAUAAAGCCAGAACCAGAGUCUAGAUUCUCUUUCCGAGUGAAAUGGUCUUUCCUUUGGGCAGAUAGCAUAGCAGGAAGGAGUAGUGGUCAAUAACAUUUUAUCAGAGAGGAUGGUGCUAAGCUUGUGGACUGUCAAAAGGAAUUCUUGAAGUCUUGAGUAGUCUUUUAUCAGGGUUGGAUUAGAAAGACAUUUCAGGCUCAAAGGAACUUUGUGUGCAAAAGCAGGUAAUCCUGAAAGUGCUUAUGUUGGAAGUGAAUCAUGGUAUUGGAGGGCAGGGAUUUGAAAUAAGUGGUAUUAUAUAUACCAAGCACUGUUGUAGGUGUGGGAUAUACACAUGGAAAAAACAGAAAUCCUGCCACCAUGGAGAUAUUUACAUUUU